CUCCAGAGCUCUCUCACCGCAGAUACGGAGCACGCCGGACACAGAGAGUCAGUAUUUGGCGGAGUUGUUGGCGGAGCAUCAAAAGCUUGGGCCUUUCGUGCAGGUUCUGCCCAUUUGUAGUCUCCUCCUGAGUCAAGAGAUCAGACGAGUCUCUGGCCUAGCCUCCAACCAAGGAUUUGGGGACUAUGACAGAUUGCAUCACAGGAGUCCGAGUCCCAUGGCUUCUCCACACCUUGUCUCAAGCAUCGGCGGAACAGGGCUAGGUGGUUGGAGUGGAAUCCAACAGGAG
This 289-nucleotide unclassified non-coding RNA is filed under the name Hevea brasiliensis (rubber tree). Lineage: Eukaryota; Viridiplantae; Streptophyta; Magnoliopsida; Malpighiales; Euphorbiaceae. The record is from RNAcentral.